GGAAUAUUGGACAAUGGGCGAAAGCCUGAUCCAGCAACGCCGCGUGGAGGAUGACGGUUUUCGGAUUGUAAACUCCUGUCAGGUGGGACGAAAAGAGCUGGUCAAUAGCCAGACUCGUUGACGGUACCACCAGAGGACGCCCCGGCUAACUCCGUUCCAGCAGCCGCGGUAAUACGGAGGGGGCGCGCGUUAUUCGGAAUUAUUGGGCGUAAAGGGCGCGUAGGCGGCCUGAUAAGUCAGGGGUGAAAUCCCUCGGCUCAACCGAGGAACUGCCUCUGAAACUGUCAAGCUAGAGGCCGGGAGAGGGUAGCGGAAUUCCCAGUGUAGCGGUGAAAUGCGUAGAUAUUGGGAGGAACACCAGUGGCGAAGGCGGCUACCUGGACCGGUUCUGACGCUGAGGCGCGAAAGUGUGGGGAGCA
RNAcentral lists this ribosomal RNA (419 nucleotides) under uncultured bacterium. RNAcentral describes it as "bacterial SSU rRNA". It matches the Rfam family "Bacterial small subunit ribosomal RNA", at positions 358 to 770 of the family's 1533-position model. The record is from RNAcentral.